GAUGAAGAACGUAGCGAAAUGCGAUAAGUAAUGUGAAUUGCAGAAUUCAGUGAAUCAUCGAAUCUUUGAACGCACAUUGCGCCCGCCAGCACUCUGGCGGGCAGGCCUGUCCGAGCGUCAUUUCAACCCUCGCGCCGUCCCUCCAGGGGGCUCGGCGCGGUGUUGGGGGACACGGCCCCGGCCGCCCCCGAAAUGCAGUGGCGACCCCGCCGCGGCCCCUCCAGCGCAGUAAGCACGCUCGCUACGGGAGGCCCGGUGGACGCGUCCGCCGUAAAACGCCCAACUCUUCAGAAGUUGACCUCGGAUCAGGUAGGGAUACCCGCUGAACUUAAGCAUAUCAAUAAGCGGAGGA
This 352-nucleotide unclassified non-coding RNA is filed under the name soil metagenome. RNAcentral's name for it is "partial contains 5.8S ribosomal RNA, internal transcribed spacer 2, and large subunit ribosomal RNA". The stretch from base 1 to 120 matches the Rfam family "5.8S ribosomal RNA", at positions 35 to 154 of the family's 154-position model. The record is from RNAcentral.